This 405-nucleotide ribosomal RNA is filed under the name uncultured bacterium. RNAcentral describes it as "partial 16S ribosomal RNA". It matches the Rfam family "Bacterial small subunit ribosomal RNA", at positions 30 to 526 of the family's 1533-position model. The record is from RNAcentral.
AUUGAACGCUGCGGCAGGCUUAACACAUGCAAGUCGAGCGAGCGGCGGUCGGGUGAGUAAUGCUUAGGAAUCUGCCUAUUAGUGGGGGACAACAUCUCGAAAGGGAUGAUAAUACCGCAUACUAAUAGAUGAGCCUAAGUCGGAUUAGCUAGUUGGUGGGGUAACGGCCUACCAAGGCGAUGAUCUGUAGCGGGUCUGAGAGGAUGAUCCGCCACACUGGGACUGAGACACGGCCCAGACUCCGACGGGAGGCAGCAGUGGGGAAUAUUGGACAAUGGGGGAAACUCUGACCCAGCCAUGCCGCGUGAGUGAGGACGGCCUUAUGGUUGUAAAGCACUUUAAGCGAGGAGGCGUUACUCGCAGAAUAAGCACCGGCUAACUCCGUGCCAGCAGCCGCGGUAAUUC